Molecule: long non-coding RNA, 525 nt
Organism: Suricata suricatta (meerkat)
Lineage: Eukaryota; Metazoa; Chordata; Mammalia; Carnivora; Herpestidae
Exons: 2
Source: RefSeq, a predicted model, not a curated record
CGGAGCCUCGUGCCAGACCACGCGCCCCGGGGCCCCCUGGGCCGAGCCUGCGGAGCCCCUCUCUCCCUUGAGUGGGAAGGGCUGGCGUCCGCGGGCUCCACCUGCUGGCGCUUCUUCCACCGUAAAUAGGUGUCCCCUCUCACUGUCGGGGAAUCUGACUUUGGGGAAGUCCACGGUCCCGCAGGAAGUGGACUCACAGGACGUGUGCCGUCCGCGCAGAGCAGGGAGUACCGUGUGCGCCCCGUCCGCCCGUAGCGGCCCGGCGUCGCUCGGCCGUGAGCUCGCCAUCCGGGAGCCGUGGGGCCAGCAGAGAAGUGGCUGAUCUUGCCCCUCGGACCCGCCAUGUCGUUCCAGACAGCGGACGACUGCCUGGGUCAGGGGGCAGCACGGUGUGCGGAAGUGCGGUGAAAGGGUGUCCUAUGCUGAUGUCACACAGCAAGGAAGGACAGGCACACGACCGUCACAAGCCCCUUGAACUCUGUGAUAUUAAAUUGUGAAAUGUGAUAAACACAACGUGGUCAUUAA